ACAAUGAUACUUCCGUCUUGACAUAUUUACAUGGGGCGGCCCGAGGAGAUCCUUCGGGAGGCUUAGAGGCCUAUGA
This 76-nucleotide non-coding RNA is filed under the name Eubacterium pyruvativorans. RNAcentral describes it as "pemK RNA". It matches the Rfam family "pemK RNA". RNAcentral also lists the same sequence under 1 other name. The record is from RNAcentral. Lineage: Bacteria; Bacillati; Bacillota; Clostridia; Eubacteriales; Eubacteriaceae.